Molecule: ribosomal RNA, 498 nt
Filed under: uncultured bacterium
Lineage: Bacteria
Description: bacterial SSU rRNA
Rfam family: Bacterial small subunit ribosomal RNA
Source: RNAcentral
GGCUAACGCUGGCGGCGUGUCUUAGCCAUGCAAGUCGAGCGGACUUAUGGGGUAACUUAUAAGUCAGCGGCGGACGGCGGAGUAACACGUAGCUAACCUACCCUCUGGACGGGGAUAACCUACCGAAAAGGUGGGCUAAUACCCGAUGUAGUCAUCCUGUAUAGGGGUGAUGAAAGGUGGGCUUCUGUUUACAAGCUCAUGCUGGAGGAGGGGGCUGCGGCCUAUCAGGUAGUUGGUAGGGUAAUAGCCUACCAAGCCGAUGACGGGUAGCCGGCCUGAGAGGGUGACCGGCCCGAGGGGCACUGAGAUACGGGUCCCACUCCUACGGGAGGCAGCAGGCUAGAAAUUUGGGCAAUGGGGGAAACCCUGACCCAGUGACGCCGCGUGCAGGAAGGAGCCCUUCGGGGUGUAAACUGCUUUUGUACGGAACGAAAAGACUCUUUCUAAUAAAGAGGGUCCAUGACGGUACCGUAAGAAUAAGCACCGGCUAACUACGUG